RNAcentral lists this ribosomal RNA (2993 nucleotides) under Erwinia amylovora. Its description in RNAcentral is "23S ribosomal RNA". It matches the Rfam family "Bacterial large subunit ribosomal RNA". Lineage: Bacteria; Pseudomonadati; Pseudomonadota; Gammaproteobacteria; Enterobacterales; Erwiniaceae. The record is from RNAcentral.
GGUUAAGCGACUAAGCGUACACGGUGGAUGCCCAGGCAGUCAGAGGCGAUGAAGGGCGUGCUAAUCUGCGAUAAGCGUCGGUAAGGUGAUAUGAACCGCAACAACCGACGAUACCCGAAUGGGGAAACCCAGUGCAAUCCGUUGCACUAUCAUGUCAUGAAUACAUAGUGGCAUGAGGCGAACCGGGGGAACUGAAACAUCUAAGUACCCCGAGGAAAAGAAAUCAACCGAGAUUCCCCCAGUAGCGGCGAGCGAACGGGGAACAGCCCAGAACCUGAAUCAGUUUGUGCCUUAGUGGAAGCGUCUGGAAAGUCGCGCAGUAAAGGGUGACAGCCCCGUACACAAAAAGGCACUUGCUGUGAGUUCGAUGAGUAGGGCGGGACACGUGACAUCCUGUCUGAAUAUGGGGGGACCAUCCUCCAAGGCUAAAUACUCCUGACUGACCGAUAGUGAACCAGUACCGUGAGGGAAAGGCGAAAAGAACCCCGGCGAGGGGAGUGAAACAGAACCUGAAACCGUGUACGUACAAGCAGUGGGAGCACCUUCGUGGUGUGACUGCGUACCUUUUGUAUAAUGGGUCAGCGACUUAUAUUCUGUAGCAAGGUUAACCGUAUAGGGGAGCCGCAGGGAAACCGAGUCUUAACUGGGCGUUAAGUUGCAGGGUAUAGACCCGAAACCCGGUGAUCUAGCCAUGGGCAGGUUGAAGGUUGGGUAACACUAACUGGAGGACCGAACCGACUAAUGUUGAAAAAUUAGCGGAUGACCUGUGGCUGGGGGUGAAAGGCCAAUCAAACCGGGAGAUAGCUGGUUCUCCCCGAAAGCUAUUUAGGUAGCGCCUCGUGAAUUCAUCUCCGGGGGUAGAGCACUGUUUCGGCUAGGGGGCCAUCCCGGCUUACCAACCCGAUGCAAACUGCGAAUACCGGAGAAUGUUAUCACGGGAGACACACGGCGGGUGCUAACGUCCGUCGUGAAGAGGGAAACAACCCAGACCGCCAGCUAAGGUCCCAAAGUCAUGGUUAAGUGGGAAACGAUGUGGGAAGGCACAGACAGCCAGGAUGUUGGCUUAGAAGCAGCCAUCAUUUAAAGAAAGCGUAAUAGCUCACUGGUCGAGUCGGCCUGCGCGGAAGAUGUAACGGGGCUAAACCAUGCACCGAAGCUGCGGCAGCGGACGUAUCACCCAAGCAGAUUCACUGAAGUGGAUAACGAUUGACGGAGCGCAGCGACGUCAAUGCGCCAUCAAAGUCGAGUCGACUUCGGGAUACGUCCGUUGGGUAGGGGAGCGUUCUGUAAGCCGUCGAAGGUGUGCUGUGAGGCAUGCUGGAGGUAUCAGAAGUGCGAAUGCUGACAUAAGUAACGAUAAAGCGGGUGAAAAGCCCGCUCGCCGGAAGACCAAGGGUUCCUGUCCAACGUUAAUCGGGGCAGGGUGAGUCGACCCCUAAGGCGAGGCCGAAAGGCGUAGUCGAUGGGAAACGGGUUAAUAUUCCCGUACUGGGUGUUACUGCGAAGGGGGGACGGAGAAGGCUAUGUUAGCCGGGCGACGGUUGUCCCGGUUUAAGCGUGCAGGCUUGAGUUCCAGGCAAAUCCGGAACUCUUUAAGGCUGAGGCGUGAUGACGAGGCACCACGGUGCUGAAGUAACAAAUGCCCUGCUUCCAGGAAAAGCCUCUAAGCAUCAGGUAACAUCCAAUCGUACCCCAAACCGACACAGGUGGUCAGGUAGAGAAUACCAAGGCGCUUGAGAGAACUCGGGUGAAGGAACUAGGCAAAAUGGUGCCGUAACUUCGGGAGAAGGCACGCUGGCGCGUAGGUGAAGCGACUUGCUCGUGGAGCUGAAGCCAGUCGAAGAUACCAGCUGGCUGCAACUGUUUAUUAAAAACACAGCACUGUGCAAACACGAAAGUGGACGUAUACGGUGUGACGCCUGCCCGGUGCCGGAAGGUUAAUUGAUGGGGUUAUCCGUAAGGAGAAGCUCUUGAUCGAAGCCCCGGUAAACGGCGGCCGUAACUAUAACGGUCCUAAGGUAGCGAAAUUCCUUGUCGGGUAAGUUCCGACCUGCACGAAUGGCGUAAUGAUGGCCAGGCUGUCUCCACCCGAGACUCAGUGAAAUUGAACUCGCUGUGAAGAUGCAGUGUACCCGCGGCAAGACGGAAAGACCCCGUGAACCUUUACUACAGCUUGACACUGAACAUUGAGCCUUGAUGUGUAGGAUAGGUGGGAGGCUUCGAAGCGUGGACGCCAGUCUGCGUGGAGCCAACCUUGAAAUACCACCCUUUAACGUUUGAUGUUCUAACCUGGCGCCGUUACCCGGCGUGGGGACAGUGUCUGGUGGGUAGUUUGACUGGGGCGGUCUCCUCCCAAAGAGUAACGGAGGAGCACGAAGGUCAGCUAAUCACGGUCGGACAUCGUGAGGUUAGUGCAAUGGCAUAAGCUGGCUUGACUGCGAGAGUGACGGCUCGAGCAGGUGCGAAAGCAGGUCAUAGUGAUCCGGUGGUUCUGAAUGGAAGGGCCAUCGCUCAACGGAUAAAAGGUACUCCGGGGAUAACAGGCUGAUACCGCCCAAGAGUUCAUAUCGACGGCGGUGUUUGGCACCUCGAUGUCGGCUCAUCACAUCCUGGGGCUGAAGUAGGUCCCAAGGGUACGGCUGUUCGCCGUUUAAAGUGGUACGCGAGCUGGGUUUAGAACGUCGUGAGACAGUUCGGUCCCUAUCUGCCGUGGGCGCUGGAAGAUUGAGAGGGGUUGCUCCUAGUACGAGAGGACCGGAGUGAACGCACCGCUGGUGUUCGGGUUGUCAUGCCAAUGGCAUUGCCCGGUAGCUAAGUGCGGAAAAGAUAAGCGCUGAAAGCAUCUAAGCGCGAAACUUGCCUCGAGAUGAAUCUUCCCUGACUCCUUGAGAGUCCUGAAGGGACGUUGAAGACGACGACGUUGAUAGGCCGGGUGUGUAAGCGCAGCGAUGCGUUGAGCUAACCGGUACUAAUGACCCGUGAGGCUUAACCUU